GUAUCUGUAGUGCAAUGGAUAGCGCGUUGGACUUCUAAUCCAAAAGUUGUGAGUUUGAAUCUUACCUGGGAUG
Trichonephila clavata is the source of this 73-nucleotide non-coding RNA. The record is from the annotation of a GenBank genome assembly. Lineage: Eukaryota; Metazoa; Arthropoda; Arachnida; Araneae; Nephilidae.